This is a long non-coding RNA of Sycon ciliatum, 699 nucleotides long. RefSeq lists it as uncharacterized. NCBI's taxonomy places the organism in Eukaryota, Metazoa, Porifera, Calcarea, Leucosolenida, Sycettidae. The transcript is spliced from 3 exons. The record is from RefSeq and is a predicted model, not a curated record.
UUGCUGUUUGUUUCCGAGAAGUCAGUAGUAACGGUGUCCCCGGUUUAUCGGCAGGGAAGCGUGCUUCCCCUGGCGUCGUGGGGCACAUGCAGCACGCCGGAGUAACGACGAGUCUCGCCGAGAAGAACAGGCGAUGCAGAAGCAGUGAGCGGGCCGGGAAAACGCCGGUUAUGGAAGGCGGAACAUGCAGGAGUAUUUGCAGCACUGCUUCCAAACUGCGCCUAAAGCAAGUCAUGAUUCUGCUUCUCCUCAUCAAUGUUGUUAAGCCAACAAGAGUGUCAGCAUGGACUCACUCCUGGACUACGACACAGUCGUACACCAAACAUCAAACACCAAACAGUUCAGAAAGCAGCACGCGGGCCAGUACACCAACCACUUCUUCAGCCAGCCCACCAACCAGCCCACCAACCAGCCCACCAGGAGACUGUAAGAAACCCCCGAACCCAACUUGGGGUACGUAUCCAAUGGAUGGUUCUACAACUCACGGCAGUACCAAGACAAUAACUUGUUCUUCUGAAUAUGUCGUCAAUCCUUCUGCAACAACACCAACUAUCACAUGCCAAGCCGGUGGAACUUGGACAGUGCCUAGUGUGCCUCCAUGCCUACGUAAGCUAUUCUUGAUUUAAAUGAGAGUUUAUAGUAGAGAAAAGGACCAAGGAAGUACAAGUUAUGCUAUAAUGUCCACUAACACCACCAGUC